Molecule: ribosomal RNA, 468 nt
Filed under: uncultured bacterium
Lineage: Bacteria
Description: partial 16S ribosomal RNA
Rfam family: Bacterial small subunit ribosomal RNA
Source: RNAcentral
GACGAACGCUGGCGGCGUGCUUAACACAUGCCAGUCGAACGGAAAGGCCCUGCUUUUGUGGGGUGCUCGAGUGGCGAACGGGUGAGUCACACGUGAGUAACCUGCCCUUGACUUUGGUAUCACUUCAGGAAUCUGGGGCAAAUCCCGGAUAGGCGUUCCUGUUGAUUGGUGGGGGUUGGAAGGUUUCGGCGGCUGGGGAUAGACCCGCGUCUUAUCAGCUUGUUGGUGGGGGAGUGGCGUACCAAGGCGUUGACGGGUCGCCGGCCUGAGAGGGUGUCCGGCGACAUUGGGACAGAGAGACAGGCCACACACCUACGGGAGGGGGAGGUGGGGAAAAUUGCAGAAUGGGCGGAAGCCUGAGGCAGCGACACCGCGUGUGGAAGAACAGGCUUCUGGGAGUAUAACGCGUUCGCCGGAGACAAGGAGUGAGUGACGGUAAUGGGUAAAGAAGCAACGGCUAAAUACGUG